AGAGAAGUGGGGACAUUAGCCAGGUAGGGACACCACCAGCAUGCCUGAGGGGUGGCACAAACACACCACGACAUUCGGCUACCUUUGUAAUAAUGAGUCUACCUAUAGUACUUCCUCUAUCUCUUGUAAUGAACAGGGAAAUAUCUCAUACCCUACCCAAUAUGCAAAAAAAUUUAGCACAUUGUAUUGCCUUCUCUCUGGGGUCUCAUCCUUAACUAGUUUUCCCUACACAUGACACCAGGGAUGCAUUCAAGGGAGGAGGGGAGGGGAUGGGGGUAAAAUUCCCUAAAACUAUUAUACUUGGUUUAAGAUUGGAUAGAGAAAAAUUUGUGAGUGAACCGCUAAUGUUUAACACUAAUCCGUACGAUACGCUAGCCACCCCAAAAUCAGCUUCUAGAUACAGCCCUGCGUAACCCCACCUGUCCUCUCUGUUAGGAUAGCUGAAGUAGAAGUUUCAUGGGAAAAAAAAACACUCUUGUGGUCUAUCAACAAACCCAUCACUGGAUAGCUGCCUUAAGUUUUCCAUCAAAUUUAGUAAUGCUUAAGAAUGUCCCGGAUGGCAUAAUGAGUUUAGUAUAUCAUUUAUUUUGCAGUCUUGGUGCUUACUUUAGCUUACAUGAUAUUUGACAAAACUUAAUUUUUCGUGAUAAGUGAUGUAACAAGUUUGAAGACUGCAUGAUAUGAAGGUUAGAGAGGCCACGUCUGUCCUCUCACACCUACACACACACACACACACACACACACACACACGAUAUGAAGCAAGAGAAGCCUCAAGACAACUGUCCACUAAUGGCUUUGUACUCAGACCACUGAUUAACUUCUCCAUUAGCUGUGAGCCUCUUGACCAGUUACCUCUAAAGCCAGGAGCGAAAGUAACCUGCCAGUCCUUGCAACCCUUCCCAGGACCCCCUACAAGACACACUGAGCCCUGGUCCUACCCCUGCCUGGCUACCCUAAGAGAACUCCUCUGCCUGCCAGAACAAGACUUGCAGGUGGCUAGGGAUUGAGGUGGUCAUGCUCAGCAGUCAGGAUGGGCUGCUCAAACACGGCAAACAUGCAGUUAGACUACGGCUAUAGUCAAACCAAUUCAAAUAGUCCAUUUGGCCGUUCAAUUCUGCGGGUCCUUUCCUCCCCUCUGCUCUGCCACACAGGCCCAUCGCCUAUCUUUCCCUCUCAUAUGUUUCGUAUAGGUAACAUGUGAGAGGAAGGGAUAGGUGUUGGGGUAGAGCAGAGGGGAAGAAAGGACCCGCGGAAUCGAACGCCCAAACGGACUCUUUGAAAUGGUUUAACUAUAGUGAUUAAUUGGGAACUUGCUAAGGAUCAGCGAAAUGAGAAGGGUUGAGGUCUGGGUUUCAUGCAUGUAUUUUAAACAUCUUUACAUGGUGACAAACAAUAAGGAUACAGUUAAUAGGCUCUAUAAGUCUUGACUUAAAAACAUAUUAUUAUUAUUAUGAUUCACCUGGAUGACAAGUCUUCACAGCUGGCUACAGGCUUGGCUCUAGGGCCCAUAUUCCCAAACAAUUCAGGGCUUACACACCAAUAGUUACUAAGGCUUUGGUGGAGGUUAUGGCUGGGUGCUUCCAAGGGGGGUAGUGUUAUGAGCCUAGUGAUAAUAUGACAAGGAUUCAGGCUUGGCUCUAGGGCCCAUAUUCCCAAACAUUUAAGGGCUUACACAUCCACAUUUGCUGAGGCUUUGGUGGAGGUUAUGGCUGGGUGCUUCCAAGGGGGGUAGUGUUAUGAGCCUGGUGAUAGUAUGGCAAGUCUUCUGCUGCACCAUGAACGUGAAAAACACUCAUGAGAACCCGACUAACCUCCUGUUUGGCCCUGGCAAAUAGUUGUUGUGAGAGCCAGAAGGGUCUGAGAAUACAGGCCUGUGUGUCAUAACUUUAUGGUUCUCCAGGAUAUACCUUUUCCAUAUAGAAGGGAAGGAGAGAGUCAAGAGUGGUUGGUACAGGGGCUAUUACACUGGGCAAAUUUUCCGUGGAUCUUCAGUCAAACCACGAUUUCCGCUAGCGUGUUUCUCAUUUGUUUCUUGUUAUUGCUGCUGCUGAUGAUAGUGAGUAAUACCGUCGUCCUUCGGUGAAAUCUACCGUAGCUUUGGAAGAUCGUGGACACGCCAAAAAAACACGGAAAUAUGAGAACCACGCUUGCGGAAAUCGUGGUUUGACUGAAGAUCCAUGGAAAAUUUGCCCAGUGUAAGAGUCACCUGCUGAUGCUACUUGCUAGAGCUACACACACCUACAGGAAGUCAACCACAAAACCGGCUCAUUGGGGUGAUCUUUUUUACUUUCCACCAAACACUUUUCUGCAUUUUAUAAGGAAGUUGCAUUUUUUUAAUUGUAUGUGAGAGGUGUUUUCUUUUUAUUGUAUGUGAAUUGUGUCUUGUACUGAUGUUCUGAGUAGAUAUGCAACAUGAUGCAGAGAGAAAAUGUGUGUAGUAUAUGUGAUUCUCUCUCUCUCUCUCUCUCUCAAACAUAUAUGUCUAUCUAUCGGUAUCUACCUAUCAAUUUAUCUCUAUCUAUAUUGAAAUAGGUAAAGCUAUACAUAUAUUGGGUACAGUUUUCUACACAUUCAAUUUCUUCCCCACAGCCUCGUCCUCCCACCCACCAACACUGUUUUUGAGGGACCCUGCCAGCAAGCCUACACACACACACACACACACACCUUCACAUUCUUAACAAUUCUUGUCAGAAUUAAUUGCUUUGUUGCAGGUAUGGCUUUUUUUUUAGGUUCUAGACUGGACUGUCCUUUUUCCUCAUGGGUAAAGAGAUCAAGUCAAAGAGAUGUGAAUUAUGUGUCAGUCUCUUACAUGAAUCAGCCUCAAUAUCUGCAGCAUACACUAGGAUUGACUAUUCAAAGACAAGUUUGACGAUCACUUUCUUCACCUUAAUAUUCACUAAAGUAGAAAUGCAAAGUCUUGGUGGCCAUAUGGCAUUGUAAUUUCACUAACAACAGACCACCUAGUCUGGGUCAUAGGGUUUGUGUGGUCAGAAAAUCCAUCUAUGCAAAUCAUCAUCAGUAUGGCAUGCCAGCCUUGAUGCAGGAGCUCAGAGCAAAUCUACUUUGGCACAUGGCAGUUCAGUGAUGUUCCAGGAAGCCACAGAGGGUCUUCCUGAUAAAUGCAUCAGCCUUGCUCUCAGACCUCAGCUUUAUAUUAGUUCCUGAGCUUGGCAACCCUGGUCUGCUCUCUUAUGAAGGUGGUGGCUGAGUGGUCAGAAUGCAAGCGCAGCGUUCUGAAGGACCCGGGUUCCAGUCCUGCCCGUGACUACAAGUUGACAAUAUUCAGUCAUCACCGAGUGGCCUAAAAGUACCCACAUGCUGUCCUGAUAACUGCCUUUUAACCCAGACUCCAGCAAAACUCCAAAGAGGAUCAAGUGAAGCUCCAGGUGGUAGAAUGAGUCACACAUGAUGGCACCACUAGAAAACACUUCCCUGUGCCACUAACAAGCUGAGGUAGACCAGCAGGCCCCAUCAAGAAACCCUACUGGUGAUAUGGGCCGAACAAAAACAAACAAAAAUUAAAAUAAAAGGUGCCCUUACAGUCCUUCCCACCAAACAGCUGCUGAGGCCAAGGUGUAAAUGCAUGGCCUUGUGGACACACUGAUCACUCUCUUUUAUCAUGAAGUCACUUGGCCUCCAGGGAUUAAUGUCCUAAAUAUUUGUUUCUUUGUCCUGCAGAGUGACACCAAUGACAUGUACGAUACCCCAAGAUAAACUCUGCUGUCAGAGGUCUUCCAAUAGAAAGAAAGUACAUACAUGCUGAGGUAAACUUUAUCCUCCCCAAACACACGAGUGUAACAAUGCCUCAGCCACCCAAACCGAAACACUUGGAGUGAUUUUUAACCCCUUGACUGUGGAUUUCCUACAAGAAGACAUUACCCAGCUACAGGAAUGGAACAAAAAGUGGUUGCUACAAUUCAAUGCAGAAAAAUGUAAAGUCAUGAACCUUCGGAGGAGAAGUCCAGUAUACCAAUAUCACAUGGGAAACACUCCACUAUCUACCACAGAGGCACAGACUAUAUGUUACCAGGCUACCAGUGAAGGCUGAAUCCGUUCCAAUCGCAGCGGACGGGUUAAACUCUUUCAAAAAGGAAGAAGCAUCUAACUAUAUUCAAUCAAUGCCUCUUUUCUUUCCUCUCUUUAUGGAUCAGCAAGCUGCAAAUUUUAUUUCAUUUUCCUUCCUUUUAAACCGUCUCAUGUUCCAUUAAAAAAAAAUAUACAUCCCAGCCUAUGCCUCUCAAUGACACAUAUUCAUUACAACUACUACUUGCAAUCACAACGAAGGGGUAGAUACUCCUGCUCUCAACUAACUGUCUGUAUAUUGAUAAGACAUAGUUAACUUAUAAGGGAUCUAGGCUCAAACUGCCUCUUUGCUUACUGUGAUUUCUUCAAUGAUUUUAAGUCAUCAUGGAUUAGUAUGGUGUGAAAAUGAAACACUGCUGAGUAAUUGCUUUUUGGCACCCCACAGUGUACUCCUCCCAGCCCUCACAGCCUAAAAGGAGACCACGAUAACCUCCGUUAGAUGCACAGUCCAUCAGUUAAGUUAAAAAUGCAGAGACCACAUUGUAACCUUAUCUCUCCUACUGGUCCUGCACUAUGCUACCAAGGGUUGUGAAAUUUUCCAAGCCUUCAAUGUUCACUUUAGCCUAUUCCAGCAAAUACCUGGCCUAGGCUUUAAUCCUGACCUGGCUAGUCAGUGAGCAACCCACCCAGCUGUUCAUCCUCCAUUUAGGGCUGGUCAAUAAAUGGGUGCCUGGGGAAGGUUAAUGGUGGUGAACCAAAUGACUUGAAAUUACUUUGAACUUGCUAACUGCAUGCCUCCCUCCUCCUUCGGCACCACUACACACGACUUUCUACUCAAACUCAUCCCUAUACUGUCCAAAUCCCUUAUGCAAGAGUUAACCAGCAUCUUCACUCUUUCAUCCCUCAUGCUGGUAAACUUAUGAACAAUCUUCCUUCAUAUGUAUUUCCUCCUGCCUACGACUUAAACUCUUUCAAGAGGAGCAUAUCAGGACACCUCUCCUCCGGAAAUUGACCUCUCUUUUGGCCACUCCUCUUAACUCUUUUUAUAGGAGCAGUGAUUGGCAGACCUAUUUAUUUUUAUUUUUUGCCCUUGAGGUGUUUACUGUAAAAAAAUAAAUAAAUAAAAUAAAUCACACCAACCCUGUGUCCCAGGGCUGUUUCGUGACACAGGAUCAAGGGCCAAUGUGACAGAGAUGAGCACUGAGGCCACGUGCAGCUAUAAAGCAUGCCCCAAACUUUCCAAGGACUAUGCAAGAGUCAAGCUAUAUAGUCAUGGCUCUUUUUUUGUUGCUACUGAACUAGAUUUUUAAAUUGCAUAAUCAAGAAAUGUCUUCAUUCUUUUAAAUGUGCUUCUCUCUCUCUCUCUCUCUCUCUCUCUCACACACAUACACACAAACAGAAUACAGCCGUCCCUCAAAUAGUGCGGUUUCCAAUCGUUUGGUUUCGGUUUUAUACGGAUUGUCAUAGAUCUUUUAGGAUUUUUAAAUUUCUUGCUCAUCGGGAAAUUCAAAAAUCCUAAAAAAUCUUAGAAAAUCCACAUAAAACCAAGACCGAACUAUUGGAAACCGUACUAUUUGAGGGACAACUGUAUGGUCUAAAUCCUCCCCCAUAUUCCAUAAUUUGAUGGAACUGACCUCCAAACAACUGUACAUUCUCAGAGGACAUGUACAAGUAGUAAUCUAUUAUCUGCAGAAAAGUAUUAUGCACGUAUGAAAGACAGAAUUUGUCACGCAAAGUGUGUUUCAUAAGACCAAUGAAGCCAUGUAUCUAUUUAUCUGUGAGCCACGUCCUGCUGUGUCUGUAUCCGUGUCAGUGUAAAACGGAACAUGUGGGAGAAGGCUGAGAAGCAUCCAUGGACCCCACCACAAGAAAGGCUAAGGCCCUGUUCACACUGUGACGACUUUGUGCCACAACAACCCAGCGAGCUUUAGGCCCCCUUCACACUGCCAAAUUAGCAUCUGGUGAUCGUUUCUAGAGCUCUUUCCGACCAUGUGUGACUCUUUCACAUCAACAUUUCACACCCGAGACCUCACAUGCCCCGAGUCGCUGUGUUCUCAUGGCCCAGAGUCGGCAAAAUGUGAAUGGGGCUUAAGGUAUCAACACUUCCUCCCUUGAUCACUGCCAUGCCUCACAGACUUAGGAUCAAUGUCACCAGUUUCUCAUACUUGGCGCAUUGUUUUUGCCGAUUUCUGACCAAAAACUAUCGCACCUACAAAGAUCACGAUAUGCAUUUAUAAUUAUUGUUAAAAUUAGUAAUUAUUGAUCCUCUUUUUUUCAAUAUUUAUGGGCCAGAAACUGGAAAAUACAAUGUUAUGCGUACAAUAAUCAGGUAACAUUGCUUAGGAUGACAUAGCUACAGACACAGUCAAAUGGAUGUCUUGUCUGAUUUUACUUCCAAGGCUCUAUUUCAUGUUGUGUUAGCUUUCCAGACUGUCCCUAAGAUGUCAGUGUGUUAAGGUGAGGGAGGGAGUUACCUAAGCAGCUACACCUUGCCUGUUAGCACUAAUUCAUCUAUCAAACUCUACUUCACUCAAUCAUUCAUUAGUAGAAACAUCACUCAGUACCUUUUCAAUCUGUCCCUAAGAUGCCAGUGUGUUAAGGUGACAGGAUGAGCACAUAUACCUUCUUUGUUAUCAAUAAGAGACAGAAUGCUGCACUAGGUCAUCUAUUAGACUCUACUUGACUCACUCAUUCACUAGUAGAAACAUCACUCACUACAGGAAACCACUGAGAGAAAAGUGUGUGUGUGUGUGUGUGUGUGUGUGUGUGUGUUGUAGUAUACAGGUCCAGAGCUAUACUCAUCUGGGCCUGUUGCUGUGUCAAAAACCAUCCACUCUCUCAACUAACACACAUUCUUUACUAUUAUAAUUUCUUUUUCUUCCAGUCCAUUAAAAGCAUCUAUAUUUCUCUGGGGAUAACUUUACUGUGUCUGUGUGUGUGUGUGUGAAACCAGCUGAACCGUAGUGGGCAUCUCUCAGGCCUGUUCAUAAGCUUGGAACAUGUACGCAAGUCUGACUAUCAACCAUCCAAUGGGUAGUUUGGGGUAGACUUCUUAUGCAGGGUGCCAAAGGGAGGUGGGGAGGGUCUGUGGUGUGCAUAGUGAAGUGCCACUAAUUUUGGCAGAAUGGCUUGACAGCACUAACUAAAGAUUUCUAUCCCCAUGCCUGGAGAACAAUGAUGGGAAGGUGUAGUUUUUAGCAGACUUUCCUGAGCCUUCAGAGACCUGCAGUGUGUAUUAGCCAAGCUAUGCAUAAAGGACCUGUGAAGGGGUGUGGCAGGCCUUUGGUGUUGGAGGACUCGAGUGUUGUAGUAAGGAAA
Long non-coding RNA from Eriocheir sinensis (Chinese mitten crab), 7341 nucleotides. RefSeq lists it as uncharacterized. The record is from RefSeq and is a predicted model, not a curated record. The transcript is spliced from 2 exons. NCBI's taxonomy places the organism in Eukaryota, Metazoa, Arthropoda, Malacostraca, Decapoda, Varunidae.